RNAcentral lists this ribosomal RNA (275 nucleotides) under uncultured bacterium. RNAcentral describes it as "partial 16S ribosomal RNA". It matches the Rfam family "Bacterial small subunit ribosomal RNA", at positions 399 to 691 of the family's 1533-position model. The record is from RNAcentral.
GCGUGAGUGAAGAAGGCCUUAGGGUUGUAAAGCUCUUUCAGCGGGGAAGAUAAUGACGGUACCCGCAGAAGAAGCCCCGGCUAACUCCGUGCCAGCAGCCGCGGUAAUACGGAGGGGGCUAGCGUUGUUCGGAAUUACUGGGCGUAAAGCGCACGUAGGCGGUUUAUCAAGUUGGGCGUGAAAGCCCGGGGCUCAACCCCGGAACUGCGCUCAAAACUGGUAGGCUAGAGACCGGGAGAGGUAAGCGGAAUUCCCAGUGUAGAGGUGAAAUUCGU